RNAcentral lists this ribosomal RNA (1122 nucleotides) under Limosilactobacillus fermentum. RNAcentral's name for it is "bacterial SSU rRNA". It matches the Rfam family "Bacterial small subunit ribosomal RNA", at positions 343 to 1458 of the family's 1533-position model. The record is from RNAcentral. Lineage: Bacteria; Bacillati; Bacillota; Bacilli; Lactobacillales; Lactobacillaceae.
GGGGAGCAGCAGUAGGGAAUCUUCCACAAUGGGGCCAAGCCUGAUGGAGCAACACCGCGUGAGUGAAGAAGGGUUUCGGCUCGUAAAGCUCUGUUGUUAAAGAAGAACACGUAUGAGAGUAACUGUUCAUACGUUGACGGUAUUUAACCAGAAAGUCACGGCUAACUACGUGCCAGCAGCCGCGGUAAUACGUAGGUGGCAAGCGUUAUCCGGAUUUAUUGGGCGUAAAGAGAGUGCAGGCGGUUUUCUAAGUCUGAUGUGAAAGCCUUCGGCUUAACCGGAGAAGUGCAUCGGAAACUGGAUAACUUGAGUGCAGAAGAGGGUAGUGGAACUCCAUGUGUAGCGGUGGAAUGCGUAGAUAUAUGGAAGAACACCAGUGGCGAAGGCGGCUACCUGGUCUGCAACUGACGCUGAGACUCGAAAGCAUGGGUAGCGAACAGGAUUAGAUACCCUGGUAGUCCAUGCCGUAAACGAUGAGUGCUAGGUGUUGGAGGGUUUCCGCCCUUCAGUGCCGGAGCUAACGCAUUAAGCACUCCGCCUGGGGAGUACGACCGCAAGGUUGAAACUCAAAGGAAUUGACGGGGGCCCGCACAAGCGGUGGAGCAUGUGGUUUAAUUCGAAGCUACGCGAAGAACCUUACCAGGUCUUGACAUCUUGCGCCAACCCUAGAGAUAGGGCGUUUCCUUCGGGAACGCAAUGACAGGUGGUGCAUGGUCGUCGUCAGCUCGUGUCGUGAGAUGUUGGGUUAAGUCCCGCAACGAGCGCAACCCUUGUUACUAGUUGCCAGCAUUAAGUUGGGCACUCUAGUGAGACUGCCGGUGACAAACCGGAGGAAGGUGGGGACGACGUCAGAUCAUCAUGCCCCUUAUGACCUGGGCUACACACGUGCUACAAUGGACGGUACAACGAGUCGCGAACUCGCGAGGGCAAGCAAAUCUCUUAAAACCGUUCUCAGUUCGGACUGCAGGCUGCAACUCGCCUGCACGAAGUCGGAAUCGCUAGUAAUCGCGGAUCAGCAUGCCGCGGUGAAUACGUUCCCGGGCCUUGUACACACCGCCCGUCACACCAUGAGAGUUUGUAACACCCAAAGUCGGUGGGGUAACCUUUAGGAGCCAGCCGCAU